GACCUCAAAUCAGGUAGGACUACCCGCUGAACUUAAGCAUAUCAAUAAGCGGAGGAAAAGAAACUAACAAGGAUUCCCCUAGUAACUGCGAGUGAAGCGGGAAAAGCUCAAAUUUAAAAUCUGGUGGUUCUUGUAGCCAUCCGAAUUGUAAUUUAUAGAAGUGUUAUCCGCGCUGGACGGUGUACAAGUCUCCUGGAAUGGAGCGUCAUANAGGGUGAGAAUCCCGUCUUUGACACGGACUACCANGGCGUUGUGAUGCGCUC
RNAcentral lists this ribosomal RNA (263 nucleotides) under uncultured fungus. Its description in RNAcentral is "partial 28S large subunit ribosomal RNA". It matches the Rfam family "Eukaryotic large subunit ribosomal RNA", at positions 1 to 256 of the family's 3401-position model. Lineage: Eukaryota; Fungi. The record is from RNAcentral.